GGCAAUUAGGCAGAUCAAUUGACAGAAUCUAAAAUUGCCUGAGAAGGGGAGGACUGAAGCAUGAGUUGGAGGAGAUUGGAGGUGGACUUGAUGGUCUGAGAGAUUUGUUCAGCCACAAUUGCUUUUGCCUGUCCCUUCUCUGCUACGACCUACUGUUGCUGAACCCGAAAUUCCUGCCAUUUACCCUUUUGAUUGAACCGGACUGAUCUGGC
RNAcentral lists this long non-coding RNA (212 nucleotides) under Panax ginseng (ginseng). Its description in RNAcentral is "long non-coding RNA (PGIN_LNC004069)". The record is from RNAcentral. Lineage: Eukaryota; Viridiplantae; Streptophyta; Magnoliopsida; Apiales; Araliaceae.